AUCCCAUGAUGUAGACACUUCCUAAGCAUAUUCAUGAGUCUAUUCCAUGCUUCAUCAAAAGAUUCAGAGUCACCUUGAUGAAAAAUAGAGAUAUCAUACUUUAGCUU
RNAcentral lists this small nucleolar RNA (107 nucleotides) under Olea europaea subsp. europaea. RNAcentral's name for it is "Plant small nucleolar RNA R71". It matches the Rfam family "Plant small nucleolar RNA R71". From Rfam's summary of the family: R71 is a member of the C/D box family of snoRNAs containing the C (UGAUGA) and D (CUGA) box motifs. The record is from Rfam by way of RNAcentral. Lineage: Eukaryota; Viridiplantae; Streptophyta; Magnoliopsida; Lamiales; Oleaceae.